Molecule: ribosomal RNA, 429 nt
Filed under: Fusobacteriota bacterium
Lineage: Bacteria; Fusobacteriati; Fusobacteriota
Description: Fusobacteria bacterium partial 16S ribosomal RNA
Rfam family: Bacterial small subunit ribosomal RNA
Source: RNAcentral
UGGGGAAUCUUCCGCAAUGGACGAAAGUCUGACGGAGCAACGCCGCGUGAGUGAAGACGGCCUUCGGGGUGUAAAGCUCUGUGUUCCGGGACGAAAGAGCCUGAGGUAAAUAGCCUAAGGAAGUGACGGUACCGGAAAAGCAAGCCACGGCUAACCACGUGCCAGCAGCCGCGGUAAUACGUAGGUGGCAAGCGUUGUCCGGAAUUAUUGGGCGUAAAGCGCGCGCAGGCGGCUUCCUAAGUCCAUCUUAAAAGUGCGGGGCUUAACCCCGUGAUGGGAUGGAAACUGGGAAGCUGGAGUAUCGGAGAGGAAAGUGGAAUUCCUAGUGUAGCGGUGAAAUGCGUAGAGAUUAGGAAGAACACCGGUGGCGAAGGCGACUUUCUGGACGAAAACUGACGCUGAGGCGCGAAAGCGUGGGGAGCAAACAGG